CGAUGGCCUUCCAUUUCCGAACCCCGGAAAUUCAACCCAUCGCAAGUAGCCCUGGUUAAGUACCUUCUCUGCCAGACACAAGGGGAAAGACACUGGGGAGAGGACUGGCUGGGGAGUCACAAGGUCUCUGACAUACUAUAAACAUUAUGUGGAACUGGCGAUGGAUCUGAGAUCCACACAAUUCUCCAAGGCGUGGGAGGUGCAAUGUACUCCAGGGAGGGAGUUUCUACAGGAGUUCCCUCUACUAAUGAGAGCAUCAGUCCAAAGGGACACAAACCAGGGGCUGCCCUCAGGAAGAGGACCUUUUAUGUGGGUGUGCUGUGGAAUAUUACACAGACAAUGAAAUAUUAUUCUGGGAGAGAGAGUGAGCACUAGCAGCUAGGGGAAUCAGGGAAAGAUUUGCAUGUACCUGUGCAGGAUCUGCUGAGGAUGCUAAGAAGCAGGGGUGAGGAGGGACGGUGUCCAGGUACAGGGAACAAGCUGUUCAAAGGCUUGGAGAGGGGAGAUGGUGUCAAGGACAGGAAAUUGCUUGUAAUCCAGUUUGGCUGGAAAGUAAGAUCCCUGAGGAAGUCUGGAAGGGGUAGUAGGAUGCAGAGCUGGCUGGUUUUAUUCCGGAUGCAGGGGGAGCAACAUGGCCAGAUGGUAUCUUGGGAAGGUUCGCUGGGUGAGGAGAGGGAGGCAGAGCAAGCUGGCCAUCAUCGUUAGCCACAGACCAGAGGCAGUGAAAGUGUGCUGCCCACAAGUAGGAGGGGAGAGGAGAGGAGAGGAGUGCACAUCUGGCCCUUGGUGAAAGGGCUGGAAGCCCGCCUGCUCUUUCCCCUCACAAAGAAGAAGAAAACAUGGAGAGCACGGCCUCCAUCUGCAUCUUCCCAGAAACCUGGGACACAGUGAGUGGGAGAGGCAGGAGCACAAGAAGUUCUUCCCAGGCAAUCGGGGACAAGCAAGAGGCAGUGCGGUGCAAUGGAAAGUGCUGGACUGGGAGUCGAAGGCCCAAAGUUCGGACCCUGCCUCUGCUCCUUCCUGCCCCUGUGACCUUGGAGGGACAUUCCAUCUUCCUGGUUUUUGGUUUCCUCCUCAAAGUGAGAGCAAGUGGCCUCGAGUCAAUACCCUCUGACCCUUAACAUCAGGGGCCACCCCAUUUCCCAAGCAUUCGUGACCCUCCUGGCCAGAGAAUCUGGUCCCUUCAUAUCUCCUGCCCAGACUCGCACCCACAGACUUCACCCCUGCCCUCUCUCCCCUUAGAGGUGCUUGCUGGAGCUCCCUCUGCUUCCCAAGCGCUUCUAUCACCUUUCCUUGAGCUUCCUGUCCCCCAAAUAUUUCUUCAUGCCCUCCUCACUCCAUUAUUGAGCCCAUCUGAGCCAGCCUGGUCGCAGGGAUGCUGUCACUCUGUCAUGUCAGAGGAAAGCUGGGGGGCUCUGGGGAGCUCUCUGCCCUUUUAGUGACCCCGCCCCGUCCUCUGCUUUGUCAAGGAAUGUAUUUAUGUUGUAUUGUGUGCUCCCUAUGUAGAAAAACCUAUUUAUUUCAUUGUUCUGUUCUUAAAUAUAUUUAUGAUCUUUCCAACAGAAAAGCUGUGCUCCAGAAGUGUUUCUUAUUGGGUAGACCAUUUCCUCUCCACACAUCCCAUAAGGUGGACAGCCCAGUACGGCGUGUCCACACCAGAGUGGGCACUGCGCUCUAGGAGUAAAGCAGGAUUGAAGUAGCUCCAAAGAAACGUGAGGGGCACAAAGUCAGAGAAUCCACCCGACUGCUCUCGGGUUCUUUGCACCCAAUCCCUGGCGGAGCCUUCUGGCCUCCUCUCGGUCUGAUCAGCCGCAUGUGGACACACUGGCCUUGCCCCUAGCAUAGGGACGCCAUUCAGUAGAUCACCAGCUAGCAAACAUGUACAAACAAGUUCUAGACAGGAUAAAUUGGAGAUAACCAAUGAGGGAACGCUCUGGAGUGAAGCACUAUGGGUUGGGAAGGGCUUCCAGUACAAAGUGGGAUUUUCACUGGGACUUCAAAGAAGCUGGGGGUGGAGAUAAGGAGCAAGAACAUUCCGGCAGGGGAAAUAGCCUUCCACCUACUGCUGCUGACCCUUGGUCCCUGUUAUUCACUCUUUCCUGUUCCUCCAGAAGGGUUUUAAAAAUGCUGCCGUCAAGGAUCCAUCCCAAAGAAGGAAUACUCCCACCACUGCCAGGGUCUUUAGCAAUUUAGUGGCCCUCCCCAGACUGUCAAUCCAAGCUUGGUCCUCACCCAAUUGGACUCUCACCCAAUUAAACAAGCAUUUGUUAAACCUUCUACAAUUAGUGGGGUUUUAACUAAUCAAAGAGCAGUCAUUAGCUCCAAAAAGGUUCUCACACCUGGGAGAGAGGAAGAAAGCCCUUUCUCCCUUCCUCCUUUAAGCUGAGCCCCAGGAGAUGUGCCGCAGGGUAAAGGGCUGGGAAGGAGGUCUUGGACUCGGGCUGGGAUUCGGGUUCUGCCUCUUGCCACAUGAGUCUCUCUGGACCUCAUUUUUCUUUUACACCAUGAGGGGUUCGGAAUAGAGGGUCUCCAGGAUCCUAAAUCUUGCUAUGAUCAUUCAUUGCAAAGACCAGAGAGCUUAGCAACAAGCAAGUUCAGCCUGUCGCGAGGGACGUUCAGGAAGGACAGAAUGAGGGACAGCACGAGAGUAGCAUAUCCUAGAGGAGAGGGAGAACACUGUAGGAUGGGGAUCCAAGUAUUGGAGCCGAAGUAGGGGCCACCAAGAUCAACCUGUGUGUCCCUUUAGCCCCAACCAUAACUGACAGGAUCUGUGCUAGAAAGGUAGGAAGUUUGGGGAUUGGGAGGACCAGAUGGCGCCCCAAACAGGCUGGAACAAGUAUACUGCCUUUUAAGGGGUUAGGACGUCUCCCUAUUACCUCUGUGUUCUCACCACCAGCUUUGACCAAGUAGGAGCUCCAUCAUCUUUUUGAAAGCUUUUUUCCCAAAGCUCAGUCUGUCCAAUUGACCUUAGAUGUUGAAUAAACCCCUCAGGUGGAAGGCGAGGUGAGCUGUCGACGAAGCCCCUCCCACCAAAUCCUCUCAAAUCGCUUCAGUUGGUUUCGUAGGACCGGGGCGGGGGGGGGGGGGGGGCGUUCAGGAGAAAGUCUAAGAAGUCUCAGAUAUGGCCUUGCUUGAACAGCUACAGCCAGAGAGUGGUUGAGGCUGGCCUGGGAGUGUCGUCACCCUCCAGGAUGGUCUUGAGCCCUGUCCUUUACAUGUCUGUCACUGGCCAUAAGGCCCUGGGAAGUCCUCUGGUCUUCCUGUACCUAAUUUUCUUUUUCUGCAAAAAGGGAUUCCGACAGCUGAGGCUUGUGUCCUUAGGGUGCUGGUAGCCUCUGGCUCUGUGCUCUCCAGCUAUAGAUGUUUGAAGAGCCACAUAUGGAAGAGAGAUUAUGUUCAUUCUGUGCUGCUCCAAGAGGUCAAACUGGGGGAAGUUCUGGGGAGACAGAUUCCCUGUGAGAGAGGGAGCUCCCUGUCACUGGAAGGACACAAACAAAGGAAGCUGGUCGUCUCAGGACCAUGGAAGCAGCCUUGCUUUGGGAGCUAGGUUGGCCUCCGUGGUUUCCGAUGCCCCUUCCUGCUGGGAGGUUGUGAGUGAAUUGGUCCCCGAGUUGACCUCCCUUUCCUUGUUCCCUUGAACAGGAGGUGGGGAUACUCAGAAAUUCUCUGCCAGGUGUGGAGUCCAGCCCCAGGGAAUACCGAGAGUGGGAAUGAAUAUCCCAGGCCAGUGGAAGAUGUGCUUUGAGAUCUCCGUUUGUUAAUCUGAGCGCCGGGGUUUAUACACUCUUUAACUAGUAUCACAUCAACAACAGCUUCCUCCAGGUGACUCUCCGUACCUUCCAGGGUUAAUGCACAGACCAUACUUUGACAUCCCAAUUCACCUUAACUGGCAAUACCAAGAUCUGGAUCGUAACAGGGUCGUGGAUGAGAGAAAUCACCCGUGGCAAAGGCACUUGGCUGUGGUGCCUUGUUCCUGUCCCAUGCCCUCUCCAUCGGGAUUAUUCUCCGUUUAUCCCGGGUGUGGCUUUCAAAGAUUGUUAGGGAGACGAUGAGCCAAGGCUCCUUGUUCAGCCCUUACAGAGAGCGAUCUCAAGUAUUACCUGGACCAGACUCUUCCUGUAAAGGGCUUAUUCAGUACCGCCCUCUCCCACCCACAGCCAGAGGUGCCCUGUGCAUACGGGGAUCAGGGUCCCCCGCUUCUGCACCAACCAGAGCAGGGCCCCUCCACCAUCCGCCCUGGACUCCCUUGACCCUGGCUGCCCCCUGGGAGAAGCCUGGGGCCCUCUCUUCAGAAUCGUGUUUUUAAUAGGCCCCAAAUAAAAUGCGCAGAAUUAUGGAGAAAGCCAAAUGUGGGAGGCAGAGUUAGCCAGGUGUUCUUAAAAGUGAAGUUCACAGGCCCUGCCUUGGGGGACCCCGGGACCAUCAAGGCAAGGGGACUUAUCUCCUCUGCCUCCACAGGACAGCCCCUUGCCCCGGAAACAGAUCUUCUUGUGCCCUUCUCAGACGGCCAGCUCCAAUGGACUGAUGCGCCCUGGCAGCCCCUUUCUUUCCCUGAGCCUCAGUUUCCCCCUCAGUACCAAGGGCCCCUGCUAGCUCUUACCCCCAAGCUCAUGGCGAUCCCCGCUUUUGUCAGCAGGUGGUGCUGCAGAACCAAGUUUCUCUAGUUCCUCCUGAAGCACCUUGGGGAACGUGGGUGAGCCCCACUUUAAGCUGCUGUCGGAGGCCUGGUGGCGAGUGCCCUGCAACAAUAACAUCAGAAGUUGGUCCAAGGCCCAAACCUUUCUAUUGCCUUCUUCUUGGGCUGCUGUGCCAAAGAAAGUCCCGUCCUC
Molecule: long non-coding RNA, 4829 nt
Organism: Sarcophilus harrisii (Tasmanian devil)
Lineage: Eukaryota; Metazoa; Chordata; Mammalia; Dasyuromorphia; Dasyuridae
Source: Ensembl